AUGCUCCUGUUUAAGCUGGAUAUAGCCAAGGCUUUCGACUCGAUCUUGUGGGAAUACCUACUGGAGUUGCUACAAAAUCUAGGCUUCUCGCUCAGGUGGCGCAACUGGAUCUCCGCUAUAUUGGCCUCGUCGUCCUCUGUCCUCCUCCUCAAUGGAUCCCCAUGCCCAAUUAUACAACACUUCCGUGGCCUGCGGCAGGGGGACCCCCUGUCCCCGUUCUUGUUCAUCUUGGCGAUCGACACGCUCCACCGUGUUCUC
This 258-nucleotide ribosomal RNA is filed under the name Triticum aestivum (bread wheat). RNAcentral's name for it is "partial small subunit ribosomal RNA". Lineage: Eukaryota; Viridiplantae; Streptophyta; Magnoliopsida; Poales; Poaceae. The record is from RNAcentral.